This 603-nucleotide ribosomal RNA is filed under the name uncultured Verrucomicrobiota bacterium. RNAcentral's name for it is "bacterial SSU rRNA". It matches the Rfam family "Bacterial small subunit ribosomal RNA", at positions 470 to 1067 of the family's 1533-position model. The record is from RNAcentral. Lineage: Bacteria; Pseudomonadati; Verrucomicrobiota.
UGAUAGUACCCGAAGAGGAAGAGACGGCUAACUCUUGUGCCAGCAGCCGCGGUAAUACAGAGGUCUCAAGCGUUGUUCGGAUUCAUUGGGCGUAAAGGGUGCGUAGGCGGCGCGGUAAGUCGGGUGUGAAAUCUCGGGGCUUAACUCCGAAACUGCAUUCGAUACUGCCGUGCUUGAGGACUGGAGAGGAGACUGGAAUUUACGGUGUAGCGGUGAAAUGCGUAGAUAUCGUAAGGAAGACCAGUGGCGAAGGCGGGUCUCUGGACAGUUCCUGACGCUGAGGCACGAAGGCCAGGGGAGCAAACGGGAUUAGAUACCCCGGUAGUCCUGGCAGUAAACGGUGCACGUUUGGUGUGGGAGGAUUCGACCCCUUCUGCGCCGGAGCUAACGCGUUAAACGUGCCGCCUGGGGAGUACGGUCGCAAGAUUAAAACUCAAAGAAAUUGACGGGGGCCCGCACAAGCGGUGGAGUAUGUGGCUCAAUUCGAUGCAACGCGAAGAACCUUACCAGGCCUUGACAUGCAUCUCUAAGUUGGUGAAAGCCAGCGAGUCCCGAAAGGGACAAUUUGCACAGGUGCUGCAUGGCUGUCGUCAGCUCGUGUCG